This 457-nucleotide ribosomal RNA is filed under the name uncultured bacterium. Its description in RNAcentral is "partial 16S ribosomal RNA". It matches the Rfam family "Bacterial small subunit ribosomal RNA", at positions 338 to 795 of the family's 1533-position model. The record is from RNAcentral.
CCUACGGGAGGCUGCAGUGGGGAAUAUUGCACAAUGGGGGAAACCCUGAUGCAGCGACGCCGCGUGAGUGAAGAAGUAUUUCGGUAUGUAAAGCUCUAUCAGCAGGGAAGAAAUAGCGACCUUUGGGUCGCCAGACGGUACCUGAUUAAGAAGCCCCGGCUAACUCCGUGCCAGCAGCCGCGGUAAUACGGAGGAUGCGAGCGUUAUCUGGAUUUAUUGGGUUUAAAGGGUGCGUAGGGGGAUCGUUAAGUCAGGGGUCAAAUUGAGGGGCCAAACCCCUGUCCGCCAUUGAAACUGGCGCUCUUGAGUGGAAGAGAGGUAUGCGGAAUGCGUGGUGUAGCGGUGAAAUGCAUAGAGAGCACGCAGAACCCCGAUUGCGAAGGCAGCAUGCCGGCUUCCGACUGACGCUGAAGCACGAAAGCGUGGGGAUCGAACAGGAUUAGAUACCCCUGUAGUC